AAGUCGUAACAAGGUUUCCGUAGGUGAACCUGCGGAAGGAUCAUUAGAGAAUGGAGCGAGUGCGCAAGCAUGAGCUUUUAUACAUCUAUAAAACACCUGUGCACCUUUGCCCUUGGGCAAUCUAUAACAAACAUGUAACAGUCUUGAACGUAACUUAUUAUAAUAUAACACAACUUUCAACAACGGAUCUCUUGGCUCUC
This 200-nucleotide unclassified non-coding RNA is filed under the name fungal sp. RNAcentral's name for it is "partial internal transcribed spacer region". The stretch from base 1 to 46 matches the Rfam family "Eukaryotic small subunit ribosomal RNA", at positions 1786 to 1831 of the family's 1831-position model. The record is from RNAcentral. Lineage: Eukaryota; Fungi.